UACGUAGGGUGCGAGCGUUAAUCGGAAUUACUGGGCGUAAAGCGUGCGCAGGCGGUUUUGUAAGUCAGAUGUGAAAUCCCCGGGCUCAACCUGGGAACUGCGUUUGAAACUACAAGGCUAGAGUGUGGCAGAGGGGGGUGGAAUUCCACGUGUAGCAGUGAAAUGCGUAGAGAUGUGGAGGAACACCGAUGGCGAAGGCAGCCCCCUGGGUUAACACUGACGCUCAGGCACGAAAGCGUGGGGAGCAAACAGGAUUAGAUACCCUGGUAGUCCACGCCCUAAACGAUGUCAACUAGUUGUCGGGUCUUAACGGACUUGGUAACGUAGCUAACGCGUGAAGUUGACCGCCUGGGGAGUACGGUCGCAAGAUUAAAACUUAAAUGAAUUGACGG
RNAcentral lists this ribosomal RNA (392 nucleotides) under uncultured bacterium. RNAcentral describes it as "bacterial SSU rRNA". It matches the Rfam family "Bacterial small subunit ribosomal RNA", at positions 524 to 916 of the family's 1533-position model. The record is from RNAcentral.